Long non-coding RNA from Oncorhynchus keta (chum salmon), 2768 nucleotides. RefSeq lists it as uncharacterized. The transcript is spliced from 3 exons. The record is from RefSeq and is a predicted model, not a curated record. NCBI's taxonomy places the organism in Eukaryota, Metazoa, Chordata, Actinopteri, Salmoniformes, Salmonidae.
UUAACCAGGUAGGCUAGUUGAGAACAGGUUCUCAUUUGCAACUGCGACCUGGCCAAGAUAAAGCAUAGCAGUGUGAACAGACAACAACACAGAGUUACACAUGGAGUAAACAAUUAACAAGUCAGUAACACAAUGAAGAUAUCAUUGAAGAUAUUAGUCCCUUUUCUAGCCUCUCUGGAUUAAAACCUAAUUAUGACAAGUGUACCAUAUUACGGAUUGGAUCGUUAAAAAAACACAGUGUUUACACUACCUGGUAGUUUACUAAUAAAAUGGGCGGAUGGUGAAGUCGACAUACUUGGUAUUCACAUCUCAAAAAAUAUAAAUGAAUUCACCACAAUUCAUUUCAAUAGAAAGUUAGCAAAAAUAGAUAAGACAAAAAUAGAUAAGACAAAAAUAAGAUAAGAUUCUGUAACCAUGGACAGGUAAAUACUUACUUGUAUUUAUGGAAAAACUCUUUGGUCUUAUCACAGCCUGCUCAAUCCAAAUGUACAACCAACUGAUUGCAGCAUUACCAUUAAAAUGGAGGAGGAAAGUAGAAAAGGGAGAAGGUAGGGAACUUGUUUGCCUGCCAUAUAUUAAAGAUAUAAAUUGGCUGAAAGGAACUGGAAUAAAUAGAAAAAUAAAUUGACAUAAAUGUUGACAGCUGCGCCAUAGGGGUGGCAAAAUAAAUGGGAGGAGAUUUUUGAUGUACCAAAUCCAUGGCAUAUGGUUUAUGAACUGGUACAAAAAACUACACUUGAUUCCACACUUAGAGUUUUUCAAUUAUUAUAUACAAUUCUUGCCACAAACAGAAUGCUACAGUAUAUAUAUGGGUCAACAAUACAACAAUCUCAGCUCUGUAGAUUUUUCCUGCGAAGGGACCAUUUAUUCUGGUCUAGUCUCUAUGUAGGUUGUUUCUGGCCACAGGUUCAAGAAUGGUUAAAAAAAAAUCAUAACAUGCACUUAAAAUUAACCUUACAAAUAGCAGUGUUGAGCGAUUUGGAAAGCCGUAGUCAGUCAAUAAAUAAUAUAAUAAUACUGGUAGGAAAGGUUUUCAUCUUUCGCUCACAAUAUGUGGAUAAUAUAUGAUUAGAAAGGUUCAACAUGUAUGUAACACAUGACAGCUCAAUUGAAAAAAAUAUAUAUGGCACAUGGAAACCAAACGAGGUGGUCUAUGGUGAUAGGUGGGAUGGGCUGAGAGAGGCUGAGGGCUAUGGUUAUAGGUGGGAUGGGCUGAGAGAGGCUGAGGGGCGGGAUUAAAGAGCUGAGGGCUAUGGGGAUAGGUGGGAUGGGUUGAGAGAGGCUGAGAGGCGGGAUUAAAGAGCUGAGGGCUAUGGUGAUAGGUGGGAUGGGCUGAGAGAGGCUGGGAGACGGGAUUAAAGAGCUGAGGUCUAUGGUGAUAGGUGGGAUGGGUUGAGAGAGGCUGAGAGGCGGGAUUAAAGAGCUGAGGGCUAUGGUGAUAGGUGGGAUGGGCUGAGAGAGGCUGAGGGGCGGGAUAAAAGAGCUGAGGGUUAUGGUGAUAGGUGGGAUGGGCUGAGAGAGGCUGAGGGGCGGGAUUAAAGAACUGAGGGCUAUGGUGAUAGGUGGGAUGGGUUGAGAGAGGCUGAGGGGUGGGAUUAAAGAACUGAGGGCUAUGGUGAUAGGUGAGAUGGGUUGAGAGAGGCUGAGGGGUGGGAUUAAAGAGCUGAGGUCUAUGGUGAUAGGUGGGAUGGGUUGAGAGAGGCUGAGGGGUGGGAUUAAAGAGCUGAGGGCUAUGGUGAUAGGUGGGAUGGGUUGAGAGAGGCUGAGGGGCGGGAUUAAAGAGCUGAGGUCUAUGGGGAUAGGUGGGAUGGGUUGAGAGAGGCUGAGGGAUGGGAUUAAAGAGCUGAGGGCUAUGGUGAUAGGUGGGAUGGGUUGAGAGAGGCUGAGAGGCGGGAUUAAAGAGCUGAGGGCUAUGGUGAUAGGUGGGAUGGGCUGAGAGAGGCUGGGAGACGGGAUUAAAGAGCUGAGGUCUAUGGUGAUAGGUGGGAUGGGUUGAGAGAGGCUGAGAGGCGGGAUUAAAGAGCUGAGGGCUAAUGGUGAUAGGUGGGAUGGGUUGAGAGAGGCUGAGAGGCGGGAUUAAAGAGCUGAGGGCUAUGGUGAUAGGUGGGAUGGGUUGAGAGAGGCUGAGAGGCGGGAUUAAAGAGCUGAGGGCUAUGGUGAUAGGUGGGAUGGGUUGAGAGAGGCUGAGGGGCGGGAUUAAAGAGCUGAGGGCUAUGGUGAUAGGUGGGAUGGGUUGCGAGAGGCUGAGGGGAGGGAUUAAGGAGCUGAGGUCUAUGGUGAUAGGUGGGAUGGGCUGAGAGAGGCUGAGGGGCGGGAUUAAAGAGCUGAGAGCUAUGGUGAUAGGUGGGAUGGGUUGAGAGAGGCUGAGGGGCGGGAUUAAAGAGCUGAGGUCUAUGGUGAUAGGUGGGAUGGGUUGAGAGAGGCUGAGGGGCGGGAUUAAAGAACUGAGGUCUAUGGUGAUAGGUGGGAUGGGCUGAGAGAGGCUGAGAGUCGGGAUUAAAGAGUUGAGGGCUAUGGUGAUAGGUGGGAUGGGUUGAGAGAGGCUGAGGGGCGGGAUUAAAGACUUUAUGUUCAGUCAUGUAUUAUUGUUAUGUGAUUGAUGUCCGUAAAAGUACCAUGUAUAUAUGUAACGUGUAUAUUAUAUAUAUGUAACAAAAAAGCUGUAAAAAAAAAAUGUAGUUAUUUGUCCUUCCGACGAGAGUGGGUGGUGGAGGGGUUAAUAAUUUAAAAAAUAUAUCCUACACUUUUAGAAAACAUUGUGCUAUCUA